Molecule: unclassified non-coding RNA, 273 nt
Filed under: uncultured fungus
Lineage: Eukaryota; Fungi
Description: partial contains small subunit ribosomal RNA, internal transcribed spacer 1, and 5.8S ribosomal RNA
Rfam family: Eukaryotic small subunit ribosomal RNA (bases 1-73)
Source: RNAcentral
GCAAACUUGGUCAUUUAGAGGAAGUAAAAGUCGUAACAAGGUUUCCGUAGGUGAACCUGCGGAAGGAUCAUUACACAUCUGGGGCGCUUCGGCGCCCCUUAUACCACCCACCCUCUGCCUACGCGUACCUCUAUAGCUUCCUCGGCGGGCUCGCCCGCCGCCAGGAACCCACGAAACCCCUUGCAUUAUGCGCGAAAACUUCUGAUACAAACCUAAAUUAUCACAACUUUCAACAAUGGAUCUCUUGGUUCUGGCAUCGAUGAAGAACGCAGC